AUGGGACAUGAUAAGGAGGCGUGCGAGAAGAAGAGGGUUGGGUUACCCACCAAGGCCUAUGACUCUACGCUGAGAUGCUCCCCGUUCAAAAAGUUUGAUCGUAGAGCUGUAUUCACGCCAUCACCAGGACAACCACGAGCAAAACGGAGUAUGGACUUCUCUUUGGGGAGUGCGUCGUCGGCUACGCGCUCACAAGCAUCGGGGAAUGCCAGGGGAAGAGGCGAGGGCUCACAUGAAAUACCAACCAGGGUGGACGCUAUGGAUGGUUUUGAGGAAAAUGAGGCGACGGCACUGCAGGAGGAGGAUGACCAAUUGGCAGACCAUGUUGAGAAAAUGCAGCUACGGCUGGGCACGGAGCAACCUGAGUGCAGCAAAUUGCAAUACCUGAAACAACAGUUUGAAGCACAGGAGCAUGAAGCGGGAAAAGGAUCUGUGAGACCGCGGAAGAAGAAGAUAACAUCACAGCCGAAAAAAUCUGCUGCAGUUAAGAAGAAUGGGGCGCUUGUGAUCCGUGACAAGCCAAGGGGAGAGGAUAUGAUACCGGCUUUGUGGGGGCUGGAUACGCUCCAGGUCUCCUUUGGUAGCGCGGUGGACUCCAUGGAUUACAAUGACUCCAUUCUGGGGAAAUGA
This 630-nucleotide ribosomal RNA is filed under the name Triticum aestivum (bread wheat). RNAcentral's name for it is "partial small subunit ribosomal RNA". Lineage: Eukaryota; Viridiplantae; Streptophyta; Magnoliopsida; Poales; Poaceae. The record is from RNAcentral.